GUCACAUUUAGACUGUCCACUUUGGAUGGUGGAGAAGCCCAGGCUGGGCACCCUGCUGAGAUCCUGGACACUGGAGAGCAAAGACAGUCUCCCUGGCCUUGGAGGGAGCGUUUCCCUUCUUCAAACGGUUCUCUUCCCCUGAGCUUCUGUGUCGGUUCCCACGAGAGCUCUGAGAGGCAGGAAAAACUCACUAGGAGGCCAGUUUGGGAGGUGGGCAGCCAGGGUCAUGAGCAAGGGCCUGGAGGACUGGGGUGGGAUGAGGGCUAAAGCCCAGCCCAGAGUGGCCAGCGACUCAUGAGCACAAACCAGAGAGCGCUCGCCACAGCUGACCCAGCCCAGGACUCAUACCAAGGGUGCCAAGAGCUUUGGCAAGGCAGAUUGGCAGUCGUCAUGGUCAGAAGAUUCUAGAGAUUGUCAUCCAGUCUCCUUGUUUUACAGUUGGGAAAACAGGCUCAGUCGGGGAGGGGACUUGCCCCGGGGCAAGGAGGCGGCAGAGCCAGGCAGGUUCUGCUGCAGCCCCGGAUUCUUGUCCCCUCUGACUUCUCACUUAUCCAGGUAACAUCUGCCAGCUCUGCUGUGGAAAUAGCAGGGACACAGGGCACCCUCAGAAGAGCAGGGAGCACUCACACCUGUGGCAGAAACCUGCCGUGGGUCCUUGGCAGAAGGACUCUGACCUUCGUUGAAGCACCAUUGAAGACGGGGCCUCCCACGGGUCCUGGGCCAGGUGUCCAUUGAAAUUCUACUCUAGCCCCAGGGGAGCUACAACAACAGCUUGGACAGGACAGGGCUCUAAAGCCUGACAUUUAUACAAGGAUUUCAACUACUAUAGCGAGACAAACCUUGACAGCAUACUAAAAAGCAGAUACAUCAUUUUGCUGGCAAAGGUCUGUAUAGUCAAAGCUAUGGUUUUUCUAGUAGUCGUGUCUGGAUGUGAGAGUUGCACUGAAGAAAUGAUGCUUUUGAACUGUGGUGUGGAGAAGACUCUUGAGAGUCCCUUGGACUGCAAGGAGAUCAAACCAGUCAAUCCUAAAGGAAAUCAGUCCUGAAUAUUCAUUGGAAGGAUUGUUGCUGAAGCUGACACUCCAAUCCUUUGGCCACCUGAUGCAAAGAACUGACUCUUUGGAAAAGACCCCGAUGCUGGGAAAGUUUGAAGGCAAAAGGAGAAGGGGGUGGAAGAGGAUGAUGGUUAGAUAGCAUCACCGACUGAGUGGACAUGAAUCUGAGCAAACUCUGGGAGACAGUGGGACAGAGGAGUCUGGUGUGCUGUAGUCCACGGGGUCACAAAGAGUCGGGCACAACUCACUGCCUUAAUAACAGCAAGAACAGUAGCAGUGAAGUAAAACCACCCAGAAGUGCUUACAGUAAUAAUUAAGUUUCCCUCAAACUUGCUCCAGCGUUAACAGUUGAGUUGCAGCAAUUUUCAAACUUCUGUGACUAUGAGCU
RNAcentral lists this long non-coding RNA (1443 nucleotides) under Bos indicus x Bos taurus (hybrid cattle). RNAcentral describes it as "lncRNA (ENSBIXG00000009539.1)". Lineage: Eukaryota; Metazoa; Chordata; Mammalia; Artiodactyla; Bovidae. The record is from RNAcentral.